RNAcentral lists this long non-coding RNA (268 nucleotides) under Carica papaya (papaya). RNAcentral describes it as "long non-coding RNA (CPAP_LNC002509)". Lineage: Eukaryota; Viridiplantae; Streptophyta; Magnoliopsida; Brassicales; Caricaceae. The record is from RNAcentral.
CCUUACAAUAUCAUGAAAUCAUAUACACUUUAUAACACAAUAUAUAUCACACCUUUACAUUUCAAUCAUCAGGAAACAGAUUUUCUCUUUUACCAGCCUACUAGUAUCCCUGGAGAUCCAUAGGGGGUCCCCUCUACAUGUGAACCCUUAACAUUUAUAACCUGAUUGCAGGGCCGUCCCCAUACCCCGUCCGGUAUGGGCGCCAAAACCAUUAACCUCAAUAAUCCGUCUGGCAUGAGGGUGAAACGGGCCGUCCCCAUACCCAUCC